UCGGUUAGAAACAACUCCAGAACUCCAGCCGAUGGUUUUCGCUUCUGCAAUAUUCGGAGAAUGAUCUGGAGACCCUGCGUGCAAAUGUUUCAAAAGCCUUCACGUACAAACGUCAUAGGUCACUGAUCAAAUGUCGUUUGUCGCUGACACUGCUAUUACGUUGCUGUUGGAAAGAUGGGGUGAAGUGUGUGUGUGAUUAUCGUAAAGCCUCGAGGGCUAUCUGCCUAAGGGAAGGGAUGCCUUCGUGGAGGACUUUCUAAGGGAAACUGGCUCGUAUACACGUUACACAUGGGGAAAACCCCGAAAACGCCCAUGCAGCCAGCCCGUUCACGGGAUUCGAACCUCGGACCGAACUACCAGUGUUCAGCGACUCGGCUCACCAGCGCCAGGCCGCUGGUGAGCCGAAAGAUGGGGGUGAAGCUCUGCUCCUAGUAUAAUGGUGUGACAUAUUUGAAUCAAUCCUUUGCACCAGCGUUUUUUUUUUUUUUUUUUUUUUUUUUUUUUUUGUGUGUGUGUGUGUGUGUGUGUGUCUAUUUCAGUUUUAAAAUAUGUUAUAAUUCAUCUUACAGCAGAAAUACAAAUUCUAGAAUUGCUUCCCUGUACCCAGAACAUUUUAUCUUUUAGGUGAAUGAGAUAUUUAUUGGCUUUUGUUAUACCGUUCACGUUCUUCAGAAAUCAGAAAAAUCUUCCUUUCGGCUUACUUAAUGAAGUGGGAUGCCUUAAUGUAGAUCCAUAAAGUGCCCGUUCGUUGUUUGCCUGUUGCAAAGUUGAGUGACAAAUGCAGCGCAAGAUAUGGAAUUUUGAAGAAAUUAAGGAGGAUGCUAAGACUAUUUCCAUAGCUUAUUAUGAUGUAGCAAAGAGGAAAUUCAGCAAAAGAUGUUAGAUGUGAAAAUGCUAUGGUUCACUAUACUACAGAUUCUAUCUAGAGAUUGUUUUCUCAUGUAUGUAAUGUACGUUCAGAAUGUAAAUUGCCUCAAACGCUUAGAGCACUAGUCCUUAGACAUGAAAA
Molecule: long non-coding RNA, 1009 nt
Organism: Stegodyphus dumicola
Lineage: Eukaryota; Metazoa; Arthropoda; Arachnida; Araneae; Eresidae
Source: RefSeq, a predicted model, not a curated record